CGAGACACGAGAAACCUUGUGGGAAGCCGGGGGGACCACCCCCCAAGCCUAAAUACUCCCUAGUGACCGAUAGUGAAGCAGUACUGUGAAGGAAAGGUGAAAAGGACCCCGGGAGGGGAGUGAAAGAGAACCUGAAACCUUGUGCUUACAAACAGUCAAAGGCCUACGGGCUGAUGGCGUACUUUUUGUAGAACGGUCCGGCGAGUUACUAAUGCCAGCGAGGUUAAGAUGUCAGAAGAAUAGGGCGUAGAGUUGGUAUUAGUAGACCCGAAACCGGGUGACCUAUCCAUGUCCAGGUUGAAGGAACCGUAAAAGGUUUUGGAGGACCGAACACACAUGUGUUGAAAAACGUGGUGAUGAGGUGUGGAUAGCGGAGAAAUUCCAAUCGAACUCGGAGAUAGCUGGUUCUCCUCGAAAUAGCUUUAGGGCUAGCCUCGAGCUGGAGUCUAACGGAGGUAAAGCACUGAACUGACGCGGGGCCCAAAAAGGUUACCAACUCAUAUCAAACUAAGAAUGCCGUCAAGAUACCCUCGGGAGUCAGUCUGCGUGAGAUAAGUCGCGUGGACAAAAGGGAAAGAGCCCAGACCGACAGCUAAGGUCCCAAAGUACGUGUUAAGUGGAAAAGGAUGUGGGAUUUCAAAGACAACUAGGAUGUUGGCUUAGAAGCAGCCAUACAUUUAAAGAGUGCGUAAUAGCUCACUAGUCGAGAAAACCUGCGCCGAAAAUGUAACGGGGCUAAAACACGACACCGAAGCUACGGAUUCCUUACAAAGUAAGGAGUGGUAGAGGAGCAUCCUGCAAGGACGAAGCCAAAGUGAGAGCGAUGGUGGACGAAACAGGAGAGAGAAUGCCGGAAUGAGUAGCGAGAUACAUGUGAGAAACAUGUAGGCCGAAUAUCUAAGGAUUCCUGGGUAAAGCUAAUCUUCCCAGGGUUAGUCGGGGCCUAAGGCGAGGACGAAAGUCGUAGUCGAUGGAUAACAGGUUGAUAUUCCUGUACUACACAUAAUCAGAACUGUGGGGACGCAGAAGGAUAGGGAAACCGGGGAAUGGAAAGACCCGGUCAAGCGUAAAGCUGUGGGAGAUAGGCAAAUCCGUCUUCUGUAAGUGAAACGUGAUGAGGACUGAAAAAAAGUAAGGAAGUUUCCGAAUCCACACUGCCGAGAAAAGCCGCUAUUGCGUUAUGUGUACCCGUACCGUAAACCGACACAGGUAGAUGAGGAGAAAAUCCACAGGCCGACGGGAGAAGUGUUGUUAAGGAACUCGGCAAAAUGACCCCGUAACUUCGGGAUAAGGGGAGCCACCGCGAGGUGGUCACAGAAAAGAGGCACAAGCAACUGUUUAGCAAAAACACAGGUCUAUGCGAAACCGUAAGGUGAAGUAUAUGGGCUGACGCCUGCCCGGUGCUGGAAGGUUAAGAGGAGAGGUUAGUCGCAAGAUGAAGCUUUGAAUUUAAGCCCCAGUAAACGGCGGCCGUAACUAUAACGGUCCUAAGGUAGCGAAAUUCCUUGUCGGGUAAGUUCCGACCCGCACGAAAGGCGUAAUGAUUUGAGCACUGUCUCGACAAUGCAUCCGGUGAAAUUGAAGUACCAGUGAAGAUGCUGGUUACCCGCGCCAGGACGGAAAGACCCCAUGGAGCUUUACUCCAGUUUGGUACUGGGAUUCGGUACUGCAUGUACAGGAUAGGUGGGAGACUGAGAAAUUGGAACGCCAGUUUCAAUGGAGUCACUGUUGGGAUACCACCCCUGCAGUAUUGGGUUUCUAACCAGCCGCUGUGAUCCAGCGGUGGGACAAUGCCAGGCGGGGAGUUUGACUGGGGCGGUCGCCUCCGAAAGGGUAUCGGAGGCGCUCAAAGGUUCCCUCAGAAUGGUCGGAAACCAUUCGAAGAGUGCAAAGGCAGAAGGGAGCUUGACUGCGACACCGACGGGUGGAGCAGGUACGAAAGUAG
Molecule: ribosomal RNA, 1945 nt
Filed under: human gut metagenome
Description: bacterial LSU rRNA
Rfam family: Bacterial large subunit ribosomal RNA
Source: RNAcentral